Molecule: transfer RNA, 70 nt
Filed under: Cryptophyllium tibetense
Lineage: Eukaryota; Metazoa; Arthropoda; Insecta; Phasmatodea; Phylliidae
Description: Phyllium tibetense tRNA-Lys
Source: RNAcentral
CAUCAAAUGACUGAAAGCAAGUAAUGGUCUCUUAAACCAAAUAAUAAUAAUUAGCAACUAUUUUUGAUGA